This is a long non-coding RNA of Selaginella moellendorffii, 535 nucleotides long. RefSeq lists it as uncharacterized. The record is from RefSeq and is a predicted model, not a curated record. Lineage: Eukaryota; Viridiplantae; Streptophyta; Lycopodiopsida; Selaginellales; Selaginellaceae. The transcript has 2 exons.
GAGACAACCAAGGAAGUUUAAGAUACUGACCUCGAGUGGAAGGAAGUGUCAAGUAUUUAUACCAGGAGAGCUCUGAGAGACUGACUAACGAAGACUAAGCAAUCGCUUGCGAGAUGCUGCUACUCAGUAGAUGACAAACGCAAGGCCGAAAGUCGUCGACACGAGGUGGGGGGCAUAAAUCUUUGAUCCCCUGUGAAAAGUUCUAAAGCAAAGGGAGGGACCCGAGUGAAUCAUCCAGGGACCAAAUCUCAGGAGACUGCUACCUCUACCAAGAUCACCACGCAAGCAAACAAGGAAGAUUUGAUCGGCUCCCUUGACCCGCCGUCCAAUCCCGGCCGCCACGGAAAAUUGUAACAGAAACAUGCUUUCCUACUCAGCAAAAUCAUUUUGUUGUUCUCGAAUCUAACGAGCUAAACUUGCAGAUUUUUUUCUCUCAUCACGCGGAUUACCUCAUAUACCAUCACGAAGAGUGACGCAGUUUUUUGUUUUAUAGCAUGGUUUUGGAAUAUAAGCUCGUUGAAUUUGGGCUGUGAAA